RNAcentral lists this ribosomal RNA (1318 nucleotides) under uncultured organism. Its description in RNAcentral is "bacterial SSU rRNA". It matches the Rfam family "Bacterial small subunit ribosomal RNA", at positions 53 to 1375 of the family's 1533-position model. The record is from RNAcentral.
ACAUGCAAGUCGAGGGGUAACGAUCUGAGUAUCGGAAGGCGACGACCGGCGCACGGGUGAGUAUCGCGUAUGCACCUACCUCUGACUGGAGCAGAGCCCGAAGAAAUCGGAUUAAUACUCCAUAAUACUGCGAGAAGGCAUCUUUUUCAGUUAAAGCUUCGGCGGCAGAGAUGGGCAUGCGUAACAUUAGCUAGUUGGUGAGGUAACUGCUCACCAAGGCUACGAUGUUUAGGGGGUCUGAGAGGAUGGUCCCCCACACUGGUACUGAGACACGGACCAGACUCCUACGGGAGGCAGCAGUGAGGAAUAUUGGUCAAUGGGCGAAAGCCUGAACCAGCCAUGCCGCGUGAAGGAUGACGGCCCUAUGGGUUGUAAACUUCUUUUAUACGGGAAGAAACCUCUCUACGUGUAGAGGGUUGACGGUACCGUACGAAUAAGCAUCGGCUAACUCCGUGCCAGCAGCCGCGGUAAUACGGAGGAUGCAAGCGUUAUCCGGAUUCAUUGGGUUUAAAGGGUGCGCAGGCGGAGAAUUAAGUCAGUGGUGAAAUCCUGCAGCUUAACUGUAGAAUUGUCAUUGAUACUGGUUUUCUUGAAUGCAGUUGAGGUAGGCGGAAUGUGUAAUGUAGCGGUGAAAUGCUUAGAUAUUACCCAGAACACCGAUUGCGAAGGCAGCUUACUAAACUGUGAUUGACGCUGAGGCACGAAAGCGUGGGGAGCGAACAGGAUUAGAUACCCUGGUAGUCCACGCUGUAAACUAUGAUCACUCGUUGUUGGCAAUACAUCGUCAGCGACUGAGCGAAAGCAUUAAGUGAUCCACCUGGGGAGUACGAUCGCAAGAUUGAAACUCAAAGGAGUUGACGGGGGCCCGCACAAGCGGAGGAACAUGUGGUUUAAUUCGAUGAUACGCGAGGAACCUUACCUGGGCUUAAAUGCAUAACGACGGACCGGGAAACUGGUCUUUCUUCGGACGGCAUGCAAGGUGCUGCAUGGCUGUCGUCAGCUCGUGCCGUGAGGUGUCGGGUUAAGUCCCAUAACGAGCGCAACCCUUAUCAUUAGUUGCCAGCGGGUAAUGCCGGGGACUCUAAUGAAACUGCCGGUGUAAACCGAGAGGAAGGUGGGGAUGACGUCAAGUCAGCACGGCCCUUAUGUCCAGGGCUACACACGUGUUACAAUGGUCAGUACAGAGGGAAGCUACCAGGCGACUGGAUGCUAAUCUCAAAAACUGGUCUCAGUUCGGAUCGGAGUCUGCAACUCGACUUCGUGAAGUUGGAUUCGCUAGUAAUCGCGCAUCACGCCAUGGCGCGGUGAAUACGUUCCC